AUGUACAUUAACAUUAUCGAUUAGAGUCACAGGCUACAUGUAUUACAGCUUUCGUUUUCGUGUAAACUCAAAAUAGGGUGUAAUCGUUUCAAUAAAGGUUAAGAUUACAGACGAAUGCAGUGUUCGUACUCACAGUUGCUCCUAAACGGAAAGUAGAACAACAAGCUUUCUGCAAGGGAAGAAAUUGAAAACACUACAACGUUUAAGAUUGGAAACAUAUUCAGCUUAAAACAUGUCUGACAGUCUCUACAACAAAGCACACAAGCUUGAAAAAAACUUAAAGGAAUGGAUAAAAUGUAAAGAUGAAGCUGUGAAGGAAUUAAAAGAUCUGGCAGUAAAUCUAGACGAGCAUUUUCAAAAAAUAUGCAAAGCAAAAAUUGCUGGAUCAACUACUUCUAUUGGUGGCGGAAUAUUGGCUGUGGUAGGAUUCGGAUUGUCAUUUGUGACAUUUGGGGCGUCAUUAGGUCUUACUAUAGCAGGUAGUGUAAUAGCAGGAGCAGGAGGAAUCACAGUGGGAGGAUCCAUGAUUACAGACGCCAUGCUUUCAAAACAAAGAAGAGAGUCAGCACAAGCUAUAUUAGAUAAGUACAACGAGCUUGUUGAAACUAUAAAAGAAGAAUGCAUUGAGAUAGGUGAAAUGCUGAAACAAAAAGAUGAGAAAAUGGAACAGUUUCCACAUUGGGUGGAUUUUUGGAGCAAGCUUGCUUUUGGAGCAGGUACGACAACCAAGUGUAUUACAUGGGAUAUAUUAGCAAGGACAAUAUUGGCUUCAUUACGUAUAACCGCGUCGUACGCCGAUGAUGCUUUAGCCGUUGGUGCAAGAGCAGGCGCUUCGGCUUUUCGAACAAUUGGAUCUACUGCUGGACAAGGUCUUCAUAUUGCUGGCGGUGUCGUAGGUAUACUUGUAAUGCCUCUAGACAUUUACACUCUUGUGGAUUCAGCUAUUGAUAUACACAAGAACAAUCCACAUAAGGUGUCUAGUAAAAUUAGAGAAUGGGCUGACCAUAUCGACAAAUCAUGUCCAACUAAAUGGGACAUAGAAAUUAUGAUGGACAAAACAUUCGAGCAGCAGUUAUGUUUUCAAAUAAUGUAAAACACAAGUAACAGAUAGCUUUAAGGAAUACCAGUAUCUUGAAUUUAUGGAUGAAUGACCCAGUUAUACACUAAUAUAUUUUUGAAUCGGUUAACAUAUAUUGAAAAUAAAAGUUCACACUUAA
Long non-coding RNA from Mytilus californianus (California mussel), 1217 nucleotides. RefSeq lists it as uncharacterized. The record is from RefSeq and is a predicted model, not a curated record. The transcript has 4 exons. Lineage: Eukaryota; Metazoa; Mollusca; Bivalvia; Mytilida; Mytilidae.